This 304-nucleotide ribosomal RNA is filed under the name uncultured bacterium. RNAcentral's name for it is "partial 16S ribosomal RNA". It matches the Rfam family "Bacterial small subunit ribosomal RNA", at positions 509 to 809 of the family's 1533-position model. The record is from RNAcentral.
CAGCAGUCGCCGCGGUAAUACGAAGGGGGCUAGCGUUGCUCGGAAUUACUGGGCGUAAAGGGAGCGUAGGCGGACAUUUAAGUCAGGGGUGAAAUCCCAGAGCUCAACUCUGGAACUGCCCUUGAUACUGGGUGUCUUGAGUGUGAUAGAGGUAUGUGGAACUCCGAGUGUAGAGGUGAAAUUCGUAGAUAUUCGGAAGAACACCAGUGGCGAAGGCGACAUACUGGAUCAUUACUGACGCUGAGGCUCGAAAGCGUGGGGAGCAAACAGGAUAAGAUACCCCGGUAGUCCCUGUCUCUUAUAA